RNAcentral lists this ribosomal RNA (295 nucleotides) under uncultured Xanthobacter sp. Its description in RNAcentral is "partial 16S ribosomal RNA". It matches the Rfam family "Bacterial small subunit ribosomal RNA", at positions 1085 to 1382 of the family's 1533-position model. Lineage: Bacteria; Pseudomonadati; Pseudomonadota; Alphaproteobacteria; Hyphomicrobiales; Xanthobacteraceae. The record is from RNAcentral.
UCCCGCAACGAGCGCAACCCUCGCCUUUAGUUGCCAUCAUUCAGUUGGGCACUCUAAGGGACUGCCGGUGAUAAGCCGCGAGGAAGGUGGGGAUGACGUCAAGUCCUCAUGGCCCUUACGGGCUGGGCUACACACGUGCUACAAUGGCGGUGACAGUGGGAUGCAAAGGGGCGACCCCUCGCAAAUCUCAAAAAGCCGUCUCAGUUCGGAUUGUACUCUGCAACUCGAGUGCAUGAAGUUGGAAUCGCUAGUAAUCGUGGAUCAGCAUGCCACGGUGAAUACGUUCCCGGGCCUU